This 48-nucleotide non-coding RNA is filed under the name Prorocentrum micans. Lineage: Eukaryota; Dinophyceae; Prorocentrales; Prorocentraceae. The record is from RNAcentral.
UUUUUUUUUUUUUUUUUUUUUUUUUUUUUUUUUGUCCAAUUCUAUGUA